GGGAGUAUAGCUCAGUUGGUUAGAGCACUCCCCUGAUAAGGGAGAGGUCGAUGGUUCGAGUCCAUUUAUUCCCACCA
RNAcentral lists this transfer RNA (77 nucleotides) under Mycoplasmoides fastidiosum. RNAcentral's name for it is "tRNA-Ile". It matches the Rfam family "tRNA". From Rfam's summary of the family: Transfer RNA (tRNA) molecules are approximately 80 nucleotides in length. Lineage: Bacteria; Bacillati; Mycoplasmatota; Mycoplasmoidales; Mycoplasmoidaceae. The record is from RNAcentral.